AUCUCAACUUAUCUGAAUUGUACUGUGAAAACUCAAGACUCAAACUCAUUCGUCAUCUUGAAGGAGAAACAGGACUGCUAUAAAAAAGUUCCCAACUGAGGCUUUGCACAGAUGGAGGGUGCCUAUGUGUGAUGCAGAGACCAUGAAGAAGAGAGAUUUUGAAUGCACUUCAAACCUGCUAAGAUAAGCUGAUUGCCAUUACCUCUUCUAUCAAAGGCACUAGAGUAGAAUUUCUUUAAGAAUAAACAUCUUUCAACAUAAUAGUAGAAACCACUAAAAACAAGCACUUGAUAUAGAAAGUCAACUCUGCAUGAUAACAUGUAAGAUAGAGCUACCUAGAGCAUCUCCAAAAUUCUGCUUGGAAACUGUGAAGGGACUGUCGGGACCUGUCAAAAUGGGCAUUAUGAAAGGCUGCAGUUAAGCUAGCUUUCAUGGUCUCCAGGAAAAAGGAUAAUAUUGUGGUAAAUAUUGUGCUAAACUGAAAAAGCUCACAAUUGUGAUAGGGAGAAGGAAGAGAUGUCCACUGGAACACCUGCAGGAGGACCAAGGAAAUGAACAACCUAUGAAAAGCCUGACCACUCUCAAACCGACCAUGGUGUUCUUACAACAAGAAACCCAUUUGGCUUAUUUCCAGAGUGGGCUGGCAUGACAUGCAAAUAUGCUCAGUAUUUUAUCAGUGCACAUAGCACUUGACAGACUGUCAAUAUUUUUUUAAAGUCAGGUUGAUGCCUCUAAGUGCUUUUGAAUUAAAUCUGAAUAGGAGAGGAAACAAAUAACAGGAAAGCCAGCAGUGACCAGAAUGAAUAUGAACAAGUAUAACUGCAGGUAGCACAAUAGCAAACAAUAAAAGUUACAAAC
This is a long non-coding RNA of Varanus komodoensis (Komodo dragon), 858 nucleotides long. RefSeq lists it as uncharacterized. The transcript has 4 exons. Lineage: Eukaryota; Metazoa; Chordata; Lepidosauria; Squamata; Varanidae. The record is from RefSeq and is a predicted model, not a curated record.